CCUACGGGUGGCAGCAGUGGGGAAUAUUGGGCAAUGGGCGAUACUCUGAACCAGCAACGCCGCGUGAAUGAUGAAUGUCUUCUGGGUGUAAAGUUCUUUUCUAAUGGGAGUAGAAUGUAGCGGUAACUUAGCAAUACACCUCGGCUAACUACGUGCCAGCAGCCGCGGUAAUACGUAGGAGGCGAGCGUUAUCCGGAAUGACUGGGCGUAAAGGGUGCGUAGGUGGUUUGGCAAGUUAGUAGGGUAACUCCGAGGCUCAACCUUGGAACUACUACUAAAACUGGCGGCCUUGAGUGCAGGAGGGGCAACCGGAAUUCCUAGUGUAGCGGUGGAAUGCGUAGAUAUUAGGAGGAACACCAGUGGCGAAGGCGGGUUGCUAGACUGUAACUGACACUGAGGCACGAAAGUGUGGGUAGCAAACAGGAUUAGAUACCCGAGUAGUC
RNAcentral lists this ribosomal RNA (443 nucleotides) under uncultured bacterium. RNAcentral describes it as "partial 16S ribosomal RNA". It matches the Rfam family "Bacterial small subunit ribosomal RNA", at positions 338 to 795 of the family's 1533-position model. The record is from RNAcentral.